Molecule: ribosomal RNA, 495 nt
Filed under: uncultured bacterium
Lineage: Bacteria
Description: partial 16S ribosomal RNA
Rfam family: Bacterial small subunit ribosomal RNA
Source: RNAcentral
GACGAACGCUGGCGGCGUGCCUAAUACAUGCAAGUAGAACGCUGAAGGAGGAGCUUGCUUCUCUGGAUGAGUUGCGAACGGGUGAGUAACGCGUAGGUAACCUACCUGGUAGCGGGGGAUAACUAUUGGAAACGAUAGCUAAUACCGCAUAAGAGUAGAUGUCGCAUGACAUUUGCUUAAAAGGUGCAAUUGCAUCACUACCAGAUGGACCUGCGUUGUAUUAGCUAGUUGGUGAGGUAACGGCUCACCAAGGCAACGAUACAUAGCCGACCUGAGAGGGUGAUCGGCCACACUGGGACUGAGACACGGCCCAGACUCCUACGGGAGGCAGCAGUAGGGAAUCUUCGGCAAUGGACGGAAGUCUGACCGAGCAACGCCGCGUGAGUGAAGAAGGUUGUCGGAUCGUAAAGCUCUGUCGUAAGAGAAGAACGAGUGUGAGAGUGGAAAGUUCACACUGUGACGGUAUCUUACCAGAAAGGGACGGCUAACUACGUG